GGCAUUGGCUCAGAGGAAUUCCACCAACCGGGCCCGAGCUCCCAGGUCGAGAUUGGCGCCGACCCGGAUCGUCCUGUCCGGGCGACCUUCCUUGAGGGGAACUUCGAUCACACCCUCGGCCGGCUCCCCGUGCCGCAAGGCCACCUCGUCUCUGGCGUCGAGGGACUCGACGCUUAAGGCUUCUACGGGCUUCUUUCCUUUGAGAGUUGCUAGGAAACAUUGCCUUGCGGUCGGUUGGUCACCUCGGACCUCUCCAAUCCCGGCCGCCGUGGGGAACCGCAUGAGCAAGUGGUACGUAGAGACCACCGCG
RNAcentral lists this long non-coding RNA (310 nucleotides) under Phoenix dactylifera (date palm). RNAcentral's name for it is "long non-coding RNA (PDAC_LNC018195)". The record is from RNAcentral. Lineage: Eukaryota; Viridiplantae; Streptophyta; Magnoliopsida; Arecales; Arecaceae.